ACAUAGGAAAUUAUCUUUGAAGAAAAUAUAGUUAUAGCCUUUCAUAAUGUCCCAUGCCAGAGCAAACUGUGGUCCUGAACCAUUGCUUGGCCUUGAUCUGUGGGCUACUGGCACUGAAGGGGGUUGCACAGAG
This is a small nucleolar RNA of Dipodomys ordii (Ord's kangaroo rat), 133 nucleotides long. The record is from Ensembl. NCBI's taxonomy places the organism in Eukaryota, Metazoa, Chordata, Mammalia, Rodentia, Heteromyidae.